This 77-nucleotide transfer RNA is filed under the name Staphylococcus pseudintermedius ED99. RNAcentral's name for it is "tRNA-Pro". It matches the Rfam family "tRNA". Rfam says of the family: Transfer RNA (tRNA) molecules are approximately 80 nucleotides in length. Their secondary structure includes four short double-helical elements and three loops (D, anti-codon, and T loops). The record is from RNAcentral. Lineage: Bacteria; Bacillati; Bacillota; Bacilli; Caryophanales; Staphylococcaceae.
CGGGAAGUAGCUCAGCUUGGUAGAGCACUUGGUUUGGGACCAAGGGGUCGCAGGUUCAAAUCCUGUCUUCCCGAUAG